GUACUUACCUGACAGGGGAAACACCACGUUCACGAAGGUGAUUUUCCCAGGGUGAAGCUCCUGCAUUGCACUCUGGGCAUAUUGACCCCUGCGAUUUCCCCAAAAGUGGGAAACUCGACUACAUAAUUUGUGGUAAUGGGGGACUAUGUUUGCGCUCUCUCCUG
Talpa occidentalis (Iberian mole) is the source of this 164-nucleotide small nuclear RNA. RefSeq annotates it as U1 spliceosomal RNA. Lineage: Eukaryota; Metazoa; Chordata; Mammalia; Eulipotyphla; Talpidae. The transcript has a single exon. The record is from RefSeq and is a predicted model, not a curated record.